Molecule: ribosomal RNA, 304 nt
Filed under: uncultured bacterium
Lineage: Bacteria
Description: partial 16S ribosomal RNA
Rfam family: Bacterial small subunit ribosomal RNA
Source: RNAcentral
CAGCAGCCGCCGCGGUAAGACAAAGGAUGCAAGUGUUAUCCGGAAUGAUUGGGCGUAAAGCAUCUGUAGGUGGCUUUUCAAGUCCGCCGUCAAAUCCCAGGGCUCAAUCCUGGACAGGCGGUGGAAACUACCAAACUGGAGUACAGUAGGGGCAGAGGGAAUUUCCGGUGGAGUAGUGAAAUGCGUUUAGAUUGGAAAGAACACCAAUGGCAAAAGCACUCUGCUAGGCUGACACUUACACUGAGAGACGAAAGCUAGGGGAGAAAAUGGGAUUAGAUACCCCGGUAGUCCCUGUCUCUUAUAC